GAUGAACGCUGGCGGCGUGCCUAAUACAUGCAAGUCGAGCGAACAGACGAGGAGCUUGCUCCUCUGACGUUAGCGGCGGACGGGUGAGUAACACGUGGAUAACCUACCUAUAAGACUGGGAUAACUUCGGGAAACCGGAGCUAAUACCGGAUAAUAUAUUGAACCGCAUGGUUCAAUAGUGAAAGACGGUUUUGCUGUCACUUAUAGAUGGAUCCGCGCCGCAUUAGCUAGUUGGUAAGGUAACGGCUUACCAAGGCAACGAUGCGUAGCCGACCUGAGAGGGUGAUCCGCCCAACUGGAACUGAGACACGGUCCAAGAUCCUACGGGAGGCAGCAGUAGGGAAUCUUCCGCAAUGGGCGAAAGCCUGACGGAGCAACGCCGCGUGAGUGAUGAAGGUCUUCGGAUCGUAAAACUCUGUUAUUAGGGAAGAACAAAUGUGUAAGUAACUAUGCACGUCUUGACGGUACCUAAUCAGAAAGCCACGGCUAACUACGUG
Molecule: ribosomal RNA, 497 nt
Filed under: uncultured bacterium
Lineage: Bacteria
Description: partial 16S ribosomal RNA
Rfam family: Bacterial small subunit ribosomal RNA
Source: RNAcentral